UAGCGCAUGGUCUAGGGGUAUGAUUUUCGCUUCGCAUCAUCCAAUGUGAUUUGUGAAAGGUCCGGGGUUCAAAUCCCCGUACGUCCA
Rhinocladiella mackenziei CBS 650.93 is the source of this 87-nucleotide non-coding RNA. The record is from the annotation of a RefSeq genome assembly. NCBI's taxonomy places the organism in Eukaryota, Fungi, Ascomycota, Eurotiomycetes, Chaetothyriales, Herpotrichiellaceae.